UUUCUUCUCCUUUUUCAUAUUUAGACAUAGAUAAUAGUAACCAAACACCCUUAUGUGGGAGCUUACAUCAGUUAUAGACCAUUAGAUCUUGAAUUAUGAUUUGAUGUAUAAUCAAAACACAAAAAUAAUUGUUUGCCAAACAUUUAUUAUUUUUUACACAGUCCAAUCAUUUCAAGAGGAAAGUCUCCAAGGUAGUAUCAAUAGGCCUCAAAGGAUUGUGGGCUGAUGGGUCUCAUCUAAGAGCCUCUAGGAACUUUCCCUUCUGUUCACAAAUUUUCCCUUCCCCUCCCCGAAAAUGCUGUGAUCUCUUAUUGGCUCUAGUACUAAACAGAUGUUUACAGGAUCCUGAGCAGGUUCCUUCUCAGUUAAAAUGAACAAAGGUAGUAAAAUUCUCAAACUCAUCAAAGACUGGGGGAAAAGAACUGAGCACCACAGACUACAGUAGACAGAUUUAAAAUUUGAACUCUGGAGUUGUUUGAGAAACACCUUGCUUUUGCUUUAUGAGAUUUUAAGUGCUUAUGGAGUGUGAAAAAAAUCUAAUUCAAAGUCUAAGUCUUGAAGCUAAACCUUCUUCAUAACAGAUAUUUCUUCCAGUUAGGGGCUGAUUUCAGAGGGAGUUUUUCUGUAGAAGUCUCUCCCCCUGUGCUAGUCAAGGGUUGUAAAAAUUUAGUGACCUUGUACAAUCUGUGCUAAUUAUGCCACAAAAGCCAGUCUAUUUGGAGGCAAAUAUUAAUGCAGUUUAUGCUCAAGAAGAAAUGCCAACUGGAACACUAAAAAUAUCUAAAUUUUCCAAAAGAUGGAUCAACCAUUAAAAAAACAGACCCAGUUCUAUUGAAUCUUAAAUCAUAUUUUUUUACUUUUGAAAGCAAUAAAUUAACGUUCCCGAAACAAAACUCCUUAAACAAAUUAAAUGAUUUAUAUUUUUAAAAAAUGCACACCACAUCUGCACCAAAGAGCAAAGACACCCUGCAGUAAAGAAUAAUUUCAGGAAGAAUGAAAAGCAAGAGUAAAAGGUACAUGAAAUGAGUGUAGUUUUGGAAAAAAAGAUUUUGGAACAUCAGAGCGUUCUCCCACAACCAGAAACAUUUGAGUCAUUUGGUAUCCAGUGUUUCUCAUUUUCCUUUGCUGGAAGCUUUGGUAGGUGUCCGGAUAUUGGCAGCAUCUCUUACGGGCGGUACUGAGAUCUCUGCUCUUGGAUGUACUCAUAGAGAGGGCUGGAGCGCACCGGGACACUGGCAAACUGACGCUUACCGGGCUCCAGAGCCUGCUGACUGCCCUUGUCUCCUUCCUCCCAGACUUGGCGACCUCGCCUCUGCUCCUCCUCCUGCUGGCGGCGCAGCUGUUCUUCCCUUUCCUGCAGGAGUUGCUCCUCCUCGCGGAAUUUCCUGUCGCGCUCCUGGCGAAGCUGUUGCUCACGUUCCCUGCGGCGCAGCUGCUGUUCUUCCCUUUCCUGCAGGAGUUGCUCCUCCUCGCGGAAUUUCCUGUCGCGCUCCUGGCGGCGCAGCUGUUCUUCCCUUUCCUGCAGGAGCUGCUCCUCCUCGCGGAACUUCCUGUCGCGCUCCUGGCGGCGCGGCUGUUCUUCCCUCUCCUGCAGCAGCUGCUCCUCCUCGCGGAACUUCCUGUCGCGCUCCUGGCGGCGCGGCUGUUCUUCCCUCUCCUGCAGCAGCUGCUCCUCCUCGCGGAACUUCCUGUCGCGCUCCUGGCGGCGCGGCUGUUCUUCCCUCUCCUGCAGCAGCUGCUCCUCCUCGCGGAACUUCCUGUCGCGCUCCUGGCGGCGCGGCUGUUCUUCCCUCUCCUGCAGCAGCUGCUCCUCCUCGCGGAACUUCCUGUCGCGCUCCUGGCGGCGCGGCUGUUCUUCCCUCUCCUGCAGCAGCUGCUCCUCCUCGCGGAACUUCCUGUCGCGCUCCUGGCGGCGCGGCUGUUCUUCCCUCUCCUGCAGCAGCUGCUCCUCCUCGCGGAACUUCCUGUCGCGCUCCUGGCGGCGCGGCUGUUCUUCCCUCUCCUGCAGCAGCUGCUCCUCCUCGCGGAACUUCCUGUCGCGCUCCUGGCGGCGCGGCUGUUCUUCCCUCUCCUGCAGCAGCUGCUCCUCCUCGCGGAACUUCCUGUCGCGCUCCUGGCGGCGCGGCUGUUCUUCCCUCUCCUGCAGCAGCUGCUCCUCCUCGCGGAACUUCCUGUCGCGCUCCUGGCGGCGCGGCUGUUCUUCCCUCUCCUGCAGCAGCUGCUCCUCCUCGCGGAACUUCCUGUCGCGCUCCUGGCGGCGCGGCUGUUCUUCCCUCUCCUGCAGCAGCUGCUCCUCCUCGCGGAACUUCCUGUCGCGCUCCUGGCGGCGCGGCUGUUCUUCCCUCUCCUGCAGCAGCUGCUCCUCCUCGCGGAACUUCCUGUCGCGCUCCUGGCGGCGCGGCUGUUCUUCCCUCUCCUGCAGCAGCUGCUCCUCCUCGCGGAACUUCCUGUCGCGCUCCUGGCGGCGCGGCUGUUCUUCCCUCUCCUGCAGCAGCUGCUCCUCCUCGCGGAACUUCCUGUCGCGCUCCUGGCGGCGCGGCUGUUCUUCCCUCUCCUGCAGCAGCUGCUCCUCCUCGCGGAACUUCCUGUCGCGCUCCUGGCGGCGCGGCUGUUCUUCCCUCUCCUGCAGCAGCUGCUCCUCCUCGCGGAACUUCCUGUCGCGCUCCUGGCGGCGCGGCUGUUCUUCCCUCUCCUGCAGCAGCUGCUCCUCCUCGCGGAACUUCCUGUCGCGCUCCUGGCGGCGCGGCUGUUCUUCCCUCUCCUGCAGCAGCUGCUCCUCCUCGCGGAACUUCCUGUCGCGCUCCUGGCGCCUCCUCUUCUCGCGUUCCUCUCUCUGCAGCUGCUCUUCUUCCCUCAGCUGCUCUCGUUCAGCUGGCUUGGCGUACACUAUGUGGCGGCGUCUCUGGCUUUCCUCAUCUGGUUGCCACCUCCAUUUUUGAUCGCGGCGCUGCUCUUCCUGGCGUAGCUUCCUCUCCCGAUCCUCUUGGAAGCUCUCCUCCAACUGCUUCUCUUCACGGACCCGCUGCUCCUGCUCCCUCUCGAGUCGCUGGCGGCGCUGCUGCUCCUCCUCACGUAACGGUUCCAGCUCCUGCAGCUCCUCUGCUCUUAGCUGCCUCUCCG
Molecule: long non-coding RNA, 3120 nt
Filed under: Ursus maritimus (polar bear)
Lineage: Eukaryota; Metazoa; Chordata; Mammalia; Carnivora; Ursidae
Description: lncRNA (ENSUMAG00000001359.1)
Source: RNAcentral